CCUACGGGUGGCAGCAGUGAGGAAUAUUGGUCAAUGGACGAGAGUCUGAACCAGCCAAGUAGCGUGAAGGAUGACUGCCCUAUGGGUUGUAAACUUCUUUUAUAUGGGAAUAAAAUGUUCCACGUGUGGGAUUUUGUAUGUACCAUAUGAAUAAGGAUCGGCUAACUCCGUGCCAGCAGCCGCGGUAAUACGGAGGAUCCGAGCGUUAUCCGGAUUUAUUGGGUUUAAAGGGAGCGUAGGUGGAUUGUUAAGUCAGUUGUGAAAGUUUGCGGCUCAACCGUAAAAUUGCAGUUGAAACUGGCAGUCUUGAGUACAGUAGAGGUGGGCGGAAUUCGUGGUGUAGCGGUGAAAUGCUUAGAUAUCACGAAGAACUCCGAUUGCGAAGGCAGUUCACUGGACUGCAACUGACACUGAGGCUUGAAAGUGUGGGUAUCAAACAGGAUUAGAUACCCGAGUAGUC
This 460-nucleotide ribosomal RNA is filed under the name uncultured bacterium. RNAcentral's name for it is "partial 16S ribosomal RNA". It matches the Rfam family "Bacterial small subunit ribosomal RNA", at positions 338 to 795 of the family's 1533-position model. The record is from RNAcentral.